This 950-nucleotide non-coding RNA is filed under the name Malapterus reticulatus. RNAcentral describes it as "partial 12S ribosomal RNA". It matches the Rfam family "Bacterial small subunit ribosomal RNA". The record is from RNAcentral. Lineage: Eukaryota; Metazoa; Chordata; Actinopteri; Labriformes; Labridae.
CACACAAGCUUGGUCCUGACUUUAUUAUCAACUUUAGCUAGACUUACACAUGCAAGUAUCCGCAUUCCGGUGAAGAUGCCCCCCCCCGUUCCCCGCCCGGGAAUAAGGAGCUGGUAUCAGGCACAAACCUUUAGCCCAUGACGCCUUGCUUGGCCACACCCCCAAGGGAAUUCAGCAGUGAUAAAUAUUAAGCAAUAAGUGAAAACUUGACUUAGUUAAAGCUAAGAGGGCCGGUAAAUCUCGUGCCAGCCACCGCGGUUAUACGAGAGGCCCAAGUUGAUAACAUACGGCGUAAAGGGUGGUUAAGGAAAUAUUUUAAAUUAAAGCCAAAUGACUUCAUAGCUGUUAUACGCAUAUGAAAGUACGAAGCUCACCAACGAAGGUGGCUUUAUGUCUGCCUGAACCCACGAAAGCUAUGGUACAAACUGGGAUUAGAUACCCCAUUAUGCUUAGCCGUAAACAUAGAUAGAAAAUUACAUAUACUAUCCGCCCGGGGACUACGAGCAUCAGCUUAAAACCCAAAGGACUUGGCGGUGCUUUAGAUCCACCUAGAGGAGCCUGUUCUAGAACCGAUAAUCCCCGUUAAACCUCACCUUUUCUUGUUCUCCCCGCCUAUAUACCGCCGUCGUCAGCUUACCCUGUGAAGGGUCUAAAGUAAGCAAAAUUGGUACAACCCAAAACGCCAGGUCGAGGUGUAGCGAAUGAAAAGGGAAGAAAUGGGCUACAUUCAAUAUCCUAUAAUGAAUACGGAAGGUGGGCUGAAACGCCCGCCCGAAGGAGGAUUUAGUAGUAAGCAGAAAAUAGAGUGUUCUGCUGAAAUUGGCCCUGAAGCGCGCACACACCGCCCGUCACUCUCCCCAAACUCUCAUAAACACACCUAUAAUUAAAACAUUAUAACUGUAAAGGGGAGGCAAGUCGUAACAUGGUAAGUGUACCGGAAGGUGUACUUG